UAAUACAGAGGGUGCAAGCGUUAUCCGGAAUCAUUGGGCGUAAAGCGUCCGCAGGCUGUUAGUUAAGUAGGAUAUUAAAGGCGGUAGCUCAACUAUCGUAAUGUAUCCUAAACUGGCUAGCUAGAGACUCAUAGAGGUAAGUGGAAUUCUGCAUGUAGGGGUAAAAUCCGUAGAUAUGCAGAGGAACACCAAAAGCGAAAGCAGCUUACUGGAUGAGUUCUGACGCUCAGGGACGAAAGCGUGGGGAUCAAACAGG
RNAcentral lists this ribosomal RNA (256 nucleotides) under uncultured bacterium. RNAcentral describes it as "partial 16S ribosomal RNA". It matches the Rfam family "Bacterial small subunit ribosomal RNA", at positions 521 to 776 of the family's 1533-position model. The record is from RNAcentral.